This 420-nucleotide long non-coding RNA is filed under the name Homo sapiens (human). Its description in RNAcentral is "HSALNT0092724". Lineage: Eukaryota; Metazoa; Chordata; Mammalia; Primates; Hominidae. The record is from RNAcentral.
CAAAGCACUAAGCCAAGUGUGGGGCUGUUCUACAUGAGGGCUCCUCUGGGACUGCACAGAGCUUGCAUGACCAUGAAGUCAGCCUUGUAGUACCUCAAGUUACAGAGGAGGAAACAACCCAGAGAAGUAAAGUGGCCUCCCAUGAUCUCACAUUAGAGAUAUGCAGUGGGAUACUCUCUUGAGGUGCUGGACAGCGGCAGUGAAAUGCAGCUCCCAGUCAGGCACAUGAUGACAGUGUGCUGUGUUGCCAGCAAUUUUUGGAUAUCCUGUUUCCGCAUCCAUCAUGUCUACAAAAUGCCCAUCUGUGUCUCCUGCUUCUGGUGAGAAGAAGAGGAAGGCAAUUACUCUUGAGAUGAAACUCAAGAUAAUUGCCCAGCAUGAAGGCAGCAGGCCAGUAAUGGCCAUCACACGUGAGUUGGG